Molecule: ribosomal RNA, 463 nt
Filed under: Vreelandella stevensii
Lineage: Bacteria; Pseudomonadati; Pseudomonadota; Gammaproteobacteria; Oceanospirillales; Halomonadaceae
Description: partial 16S ribosomal RNA
Rfam family: Bacterial small subunit ribosomal RNA
Source: RNAcentral
CCUACGGGUGGCUGCAGUGGGGAAUAUUGGACAAUGGGCGAAAGCCUGAUCCAGCCAUGCCGCGUGUGUGAAGAAGGCCUUCGGGUUGUAAAGCACUUUCAGUGGGGAAGAAAGCCUUGGGGCUAAUACCCUCGAGGAAGGACAUCACCCACAGAAGAAGCACCGGCUAACUCCGUGCCAGCAGCCGCGGUAAUACGGAGGGUGCGAGCGUUAAUCGGAAUUACUGGGCGUAAAGCGCGCGUAGGCGGUCUGAUAAGCCGGUUGUGAAAGCCCCGGGCUCAACCUGGGAACGGCAUCCGGAACUGUCAGGCUAGAGUGCAGGAGAGGAAGGUAGAAUUCCCGGUGUAGCGGUGAAAUGCGUAGAGAUCGGGAGGAAUACCAGUGGCGAAGGCGGCCUUCUGGACUGACACUGACGCUGAGGUGAGAAAGCGUGGGUAGCAAACAGGAUUAGAUACCCCAGUAC